GACGAACGCUGGCGGCGUGCUUAACACAUGCAAGUCGAACGGAAAGGCCCUGCUUUUGUUGGGUGCUCGAGUGGCGAACGGGUGAGUAACACGUGAGUAACCUGCCCUUGACUUUGGGAUAACUUCAGGAAACUGGGGCUAACACCGGAUAGGAGCUCCUGCUGCAUGGGGGGGGUUGGAAAGUUUCGGCGGGUGGGGAUGGACUGGGGGCUUAUCAGCUUGUUGGUGGGGUAGUUGCUUACCCAGGCUUUGACGGGUAGUCGGCCUGGGAGGGUGACCGGCCCCAUGGGGACUGAGAGACGGACCAGAGUGCUAUGGGAGGCAGCAGGGGGGACUAUUGCACAAUGGGCGGAAGCCUGAUGCAGCAACGCCGCGGGCGGGAUGACGGCCCUGGGGUUGUAAACCGCUUGCGCCUGUGACGAAGCGUGAGUGACGGUAAUGGGUAAAGAAGCACCGGCUAACUACGUG
This 468-nucleotide ribosomal RNA is filed under the name uncultured bacterium. Its description in RNAcentral is "partial 16S ribosomal RNA". It matches the Rfam family "Bacterial small subunit ribosomal RNA", at positions 28 to 507 of the family's 1533-position model. The record is from RNAcentral.